RNAcentral lists this non-coding RNA (78 nucleotides) under Puniceibacterium sp. IMCC21224. Its description in RNAcentral is "Alpha-proteobacteria SAM riboswitch aptamer". It matches the Rfam family "Alpha-proteobacteria SAM riboswitch aptamer". Rfam says of the family: This family is a riboswitch found predominantly in alpha-proteobacteria that binds S-adenosyl methionine (SAM). This SAM riboswitch is located upstream of the metA and metC genes in Agrobacterium tumefaciens, and other methionine and SAM biosynthesis genes in other alpha-proteobacteria. The record is from Rfam by way of RNAcentral. RNAcentral also lists the same sequence under 1 other name. Lineage: Bacteria; Pseudomonadati; Pseudomonadota; Alphaproteobacteria; Rhodobacterales; Paracoccaceae.
ACCACAUGCUGUGGCGAUUUGUUACCGGAUUGCGGGCCACGUAAAACAUACCGCUAAAGAGGUCAGACGACGAGGGGA